This 292-nucleotide ribosomal RNA is filed under the name uncultured bacterium. RNAcentral describes it as "partial 16S ribosomal RNA". It matches the Rfam family "Bacterial small subunit ribosomal RNA", at positions 505 to 796 of the family's 1533-position model. The record is from RNAcentral.
GUGUCAGCCGCCGCGGUAAUACGGGGGGUGCGAGCGUUAAUCGGAAUGACUGGGCGUAAAGCGUGCGUAGGCGGUGUAAUCAGUCAGCCGUGAAAGCCCCGGGCUUAACCUGGGAAUGGCGGUUGAGACGGUUAAACUAGAGUGGGCUAGAGGACUGUGGAACUCCCGGUGUAGCGGUGAAAUGCGUAGAGAUCGGGAAGAACACCGAUGGCGAAGGCAGCAGUCUGGGGCCACACUGACGCUGAGGCACGACGGCGUGGGGAGCAAACAGGAUUAGAAACCCCUGUAGUCC